Molecule: non-coding RNA, 152 nt
Filed under: Streptomyces ambofaciens
Lineage: Bacteria; Bacillati; Actinomycetota; Actinomycetes; Kitasatosporales; Streptomycetaceae
Source: RNAcentral
GUCCCCCCGGCGGGGCGGCGUGGGACAGGCGCUAAGCUGCAAGGGCCUCGUGGGGGAAGUCCGGUCGAAGUCCGGCGCUGACCCGCAACGGUAGGCGGAAUCCCGUACAGGUUUCCGUAAGCCCGAUUACCCGCGGUGGUGAAGCUCCUGUC